UGCAAGCGUUAAUCGGAAUCACUGGGCGUAAAGGGUGCGUAGGCGGUACGUUAGGUCUGUCGUGAAAUNCCCCGGGCUCAACCUGGGAAUGGCGNUGGAAACCGGUGUACUAGAGUAUGGGAGAGGGUGGUGGAAUUCCAGGUGUAGCGGUGAAAUNCGUAGAGAUCUGGAGGAACAUCAGUGGCGAAGGCGGCCACCUGGCCCAAUACUGACGCUGAGGCACGAAAGCGUGGGGAGCAAACAGGAUUAGAUACCCUGGUAGUCCACGCCCUAAACGAUGAAUACUAGAUGUUUGGUGCCUAGCGUACUGAGUGUCGUAGCUAACGCGAUAAUAU
This 335-nucleotide ribosomal RNA is filed under the name uncultured Acidithiobacillus sp. Its description in RNAcentral is "bacterial SSU rRNA". It matches the Rfam family "Bacterial small subunit ribosomal RNA", at positions 533 to 867 of the family's 1533-position model. The record is from RNAcentral. Lineage: Bacteria; Pseudomonadati; Pseudomonadota; Acidithiobacillia; Acidithiobacillales; Acidithiobacillaceae.